GAUCAACGCUGGCGGCGUGCAUGAGACAUGCAAGUCGAACGAAGGAUCGGGCUUGCUCGAUCCUUAGUGGCGGACGGCUGAGUAACGCGUAGGUGACCUACCCCGAAGUGGGGAAUAACUGCCCGAAAGGGUGGCUAAUACCGCAUGUGGUCGCACGUUCAUUCGUGCGAGUAAAGCUGCAAGGCGCUUCGGGAGGGGCCUGCGUCCGAUUAGUUCGUUGGUGGGGUAAUGGCUUACCAAGGCGACGAUCGGUAGGUGGUCUGAGAGGACGAUCACCCAGACUGGGACUGAGACACGGCCCAGACUCCUACGGGAGGCAGCAGUCGGGAAUUUUGCUCAAUGGGGGAAACCCUGAAGCAGCAACGCCGCGUGAGGGAUGAAGGCCUUCGGGUUGUAAACCUCUUUUGUCAGGGACGAUGAUGACGGUACCUGGCGAAUAAGCCACGGCUAACUACGUG
RNAcentral lists this ribosomal RNA (458 nucleotides) under uncultured bacterium. RNAcentral describes it as "partial 16S ribosomal RNA". It matches the Rfam family "Bacterial small subunit ribosomal RNA", at positions 28 to 507 of the family's 1533-position model. The record is from RNAcentral.